CGGGGGGAGCAAGCGUUGUUCGGAUUUACUGGGCGUAAAGGGCGCGUAGGCGGCCACCGCAAGUCGACUGUGAAAUCUCCGGGCUUAACUCGGAAAGGUCAGCCGAUACUGCGGGGCUAGAGUGCAGAAGGGGCAACUGGAAUUCUCGGUGUAGCGGUGAAAUGCGUAGAUAUCGAGAGGAACACCUGCGGCGAAGGCGGGUUGCUGGGCUGACACUGACGCUGAUGUGCGAAAGCUAGGGGAGCGAACGGGAUUAGAUACCCCGGUAGUGCUAGCCUGAAACGAUGAAUGCUUGGUGUCUGGGGUUUUAUAGUCCCCGGGUGCCGUCGCUAACGCUUUAAGCAUUCCGCCUGGGGAGUACGGUCGCAAGACUG
This 374-nucleotide ribosomal RNA is filed under the name uncultured organism. RNAcentral's name for it is "bacterial SSU rRNA". It matches the Rfam family "Bacterial small subunit ribosomal RNA", at positions 526 to 896 of the family's 1533-position model. The record is from RNAcentral.